GACGAAGGGGGCAAGCGUUGUUCGGAUUUACUGGGCGUAAAGGGCGCGUAGGCGGCCAGCACAAGUCAGUUGUGAAAUCUCCGAGCUUAACUCGGAAAGGUCAACUGAUACUGUGCGGCUAGAGUGCGGAAGGGGCAACUGGAAUUCUUGGUGUAGCGGUGAAAUGCGUAGAUAUCAAGAGGAACACCGGUGGCGAAGGCGGGUCUCCGGGCCGUAACUGACGCUGAGGAGCGAAAGCAUGGGGAGCGAACAGG
RNAcentral lists this ribosomal RNA (254 nucleotides) under uncultured bacterium. RNAcentral describes it as "partial 16S ribosomal RNA". It matches the Rfam family "Bacterial small subunit ribosomal RNA", at positions 524 to 776 of the family's 1533-position model. The record is from RNAcentral.